UUUUUCUUUUCCCUUCAGCUUAUAAACAUGUAACUUAUUUUAUCACUUUAUCAUGCUACACAUAUGUAGCCGAGCUAAAUUUUAUUUUAUUUUAUUUUAAUUUUGGUCAAUUAUUCACAUCAUUUUUUGUUGUGGACUUCCCCAAAAGUGUUUCUCAUUGUAAAUAGGUUCCACUCUAUUAUUUUCCGUGACAUACCUUUUUGUUUCCCUGGGGGGUGAUUUGGCGUCGCACCUUUGUGACCAGCUUCAGUGAGCACUGACGCUCGGAGCUGUGGAGAGAGAUUCUGUUUGCCGUGGACUGUGUGUGACGCCCUGUUUUUGUCUAUUUCCAAAAAAAAGGUGAAUAAAUCCCCAUGAUUCAACUCCGGUGUGUGCGCCUCACUAAAAAGAUACACAACGCAGAACAACGCCAUGGUCCAGCUGCUGACAAGAGGACACAUGAUGACAGUGAGACUGGAUUCAUGACACCAGAACCAACAAGAUGUCACCUCUGCAGUCUGGACGAGCUCAUUUGGAUCUGCGGUGGACGAGGGAGACGUUGUCGUCCUGCGUUUGGAAAAUAAACAAGACCUGCUGAGCUUGUCCAGUAAAGUAAACCAGUAAACACCUUUAGCAUCAUGUUCAUGUUAACAAAAACAUGAUACGUUUUUACCAAAUUACAUUUCUGCUUGUGGGUUAAUUGUGUUACAAUGUUCAAUCAUAUUAAUGAUGAUGGAUUAAUCUGCAUUAAAGCGUUCAUUUUGACAGUCCUACUUUUUACCUGAAGUGCAGAGUCAGGAUGAUCAGGAUGCCCACGAACACAACAGCAGAACACAACAGCCUGAUGAUGUUUAUCGUUCUACAAGACAUUCCUACACAUGGACAUACAGUAGAUGUCUUCAGGAGACACAGAUGUGUUUUGGACAUGAGGGGUCUUACCAUUCACGCUCACGUGCACACCAAUGAUGUGGCGCCCCCUGCUGUUGUUGGCCUCACAGUAAUAAUCAUGGCCACCGUGCUCUGUGAUGUUCCUGAUGGUGAGCCUCUGAGCUGGACUGAUGUCUUUGAUGGUCAGGGUCUGACCUGGACUGAUGUCUUUGAUGGUCAGCGUCUGACCUGAUGCCAGAGGAGACGACAUGUUCUCCUUGUACCAGGUGUAGCUGGCGGCCGGGUUAGCAUCGCUGCUGCAGGUCAGAGUCCCGAACUGUCCCUCAUGGACAGACAUAGAAGACGACCUGGGAGGAUCUGAGGAACAGGACAUUGUCCUCAUCAGUGUCACCACACGUCUUCAAGACGUAGAUGUACUCACAUUGGACAUCAAUGAAGACGGGUUCUGAUGUCUUCUUCCCCAGCUGGUUCUCCACAGUACACCAAUACUCUGCUGAGUCUGAAGACUUGAUGGACUUGAAGACCAGUUGUCGACCUUUUCUGAGGACUUCAUCAUCUGAAGACACAUUCUUCUUCUUCUUGUACCAGCAGUAAUCAACUGUUGCUGGGACAUCGAUGUAGCAGCACAGACAAAACAUGAGUCAGUAAAGCAGCAGCAGACCUCCACCAAGGCGCCAGUGCACAUUACACUUGACAGUGCAUCAUAGUACACAUGCAGCGCCAUCUGCUGGAUCUGGUGGCUCACUGCCUCACUUUGCACUAAUGCCAGACCACAGGGGGACCCCAAAGUCCAAACAUACGCGCAUGAUUGCCCUAUGAAGUCUACCUAGCAACAAGUGCGACGUAAGCAGGAAUAAAAACAAAUGUGUUGACUUGUUGCUGCUUCUGCUAGCUGGCUAAACGUGUUCAUCAGCUGGGAGGUCAUUUCAAUUGGUUUGUGUUGUUUACUACUUCGUAGUUGGAAUAGAAACAAGAAAGAUUUGUGUUGUUUUCCUACUGAAGUGCUUUGUAGCGCACCAUGUUUUUCUGGAAGAAAGAAGCACUCACACAGGUGAGGAGAGAUGCUGAUAUGUUGAUGUUGUUGUGCAGUACAGGUGAUGUAGUCUCCAGGUGACAAGGUGACUUCUACUUUGGUUCCAUUCGUUAUAUACUUUCCAUUCUUCCGCCACACAAAAGACAAAGGAGCUUCCGGAAGGCAGCUUGUGUGACACAACAUUUGUGCAACAAGGUGAGAAUCUUCAACUGUGACUGACAUCACCUGCACCUGCACAGCUGGAGGCCAGAGGAGCAAACAUGAAACAUGUCAUAUUAAUAUUCAUUUUAGAUGCAAGUCACACAACAUACACACAUGACUGCUUCAUCUGGAACACCACUGUCCAAAGUCCAGUUUGCAGCCCACAGCUUGCUUUUGAUUGGCUGCUGACUUAUUUCUAAAUAAAAUUACACCUGACCCGCAUUCAAACACUAGAAAAGAUUAGUGACUUGGCAGAAAAUUCAAACAUAAUGUAAUAUACAGUAUUGUACAUAAUAUAUAUAUUUUAUUAUCUAAUCUAAAGUAUUCAUUGUAAUAUAGUUGUAUUAUUGGGCAUGUUUGGUCAGGUGUGUUCAUACCUGCUACUGUCAAGGUGCUUCCAGGUAAAAUACUCCUCCAUUCAAAACCUUCAUAAGUGGUGAAUUUGAAGCGGUACUCAGCAGAAUCAUUCUGGCUCACAUCUUUUAUUGUCAGUGUGCUUUUUCCAGAAGUCUCUGAAGGUAACUCAACACGACCUUCAUACUGAGGGUCUGACCAGAGAUCUUCAGUCAUGGAGGGAUUCCUCCAGUGACUAGAAUCCGUACGGUACCAGAAUUGUGUCUGGGUAUAUUCAUAGCUCGUGUAUUCACAUUUAAUGUCCACUGAUGAUCCUUGGAUGGCACAGAUGUGUCUCUUGGAGUAAACCACCUUGUUACAUGACAUGUACACCACACCUGAAAGACAGAAGAAGCAUUGAGCUGAGUCAGCACAAAGUUACAUGUGACGUGCAGCAGAAGACUGAAGAGUCCACUCACAUUUUGGAGGAGACGCAGCUUGCUCGUGUCCUCUUACAGCACAGGAGUAACUGCCUUUGUACUCAUGUUUGACUGUGUACACUUGGGACUUUUCAUUUUGGAUUUCCUCUCCAUUCUUAUACCAGACAUAUGAAGAAGAAGACCAAGGACUGCAAGUGGUGCUGACACACUUCAGAUCAUACCAAUGAGUUUUCCCAAUAACAUUGGGACUUGAGGGCACUUGUACUUUCAGAUCUGGAAUGAAAGGACAACUUAAAUAAUUUCAAAAUAAAAGUCUUAAUCUCCACUUCCACCAAAGGCAGUACAGUUUGGAUCAGUUUCUGUUCUCAUAAGUUGUGAAGGGUACUAAAAUAACUUGUCAGGGUACCAAGUACAGUUGUAGAGCAGCUAAAAGGGCGGAGUCAGACACAAUGCAGUGUGUUGAUUGGAGGACAGCAAAUGGUCAUUUCCAGAAUGUGAAGAAGACCAAAAACAUGAUGUCACUGUGGCUGGCCCCGCCUACUCCCAGCAGACAAUCAGCACAUGGACUUCCUGACCUCAAACUGGACUGAGCUUGGUGGAAAUGUGUUUUAUGGAAAGCAGUACCAGUGACGGUCACUUUGACACCAGGCGUGACGAUGAAGUCUCCUCUGGAAUGGUUAGUUGUGAAUCUGAACGUGUACUCGUCACUCCGUCUCACGUCUGCGAUGGUCAGACUGCAGAUGUUGCCAUGACACUCAGACUGUAUCCUACCAAAGUACUGAGGGUCCAAUCUUAGAUCUUCAUUUGAAUCUUUGUUGAACCAAAAUGUUUCCUUGACCUUGAUCUCACGCCCGUCUUCUGUGGGCGGGAACUUAAAGGAGCACUGAAGCUUCACAGUGGAUCCUUUAAUUGCACAGAUCUCCUUCUCAGUGUAGGUCCCCCCCCACUCAGCACUGAGCAGCCCUGUGAUGGAUUGAGAUGACAAUGACCUGGAUGAAUGACAACAUCCAUUGACAUGUCAUGAAUUCUAUUUGAAAGAUUAGUCGACUAAUCAGAUUAUUGAGUGUAAACAUAUUCAGUGGUUCUAAUUCAGCCAAAGGCCUUUAGAGUUGUGUCAUAUUUUAGGCAUGUGCUAACUGACAAUAAAGAUGACUACUUCAUUCAGAAAUAUUUAUUAAUACUGUAACCGUGUUGCUUAUCGGAUGGUUACAAAAAUAAUAACCCUUAGUACAUGUAAAUGUACAUAACUUAAAAAAUACCUCUCUCUAUGAAAAUGUAAAAAUACAGAUAAAGGCAUCACAUAAUAAAACAUUUGACAGGCUGAUACUAUUUAUGAACAAAAACACAAAUAUUUGUCUUUAAAUAUAUAGAUCUAGAACAUAGAACAUUUUUAUGAGAUAUUCCAAAUUGCAUGAUGACAUCGCGUUCACACCCCAACACUGUUUUACCUAACAUAGUGAAUAAUCCUGAUUUCAAUAUUGAGAAAAAUAAUCUUAAUUAUUAUUUUGCCCAGAAUCGUGCAGUCCUAUAUGUAAGACUUGACCUCAUAUAUGAACACUAUUUUUAUCUAUAUGGACCAAAAGUGCAGUUACGUCUUAUGUCCAAAAAAAAAUUCACAUUUACUUGUAUUUAUUUACAGUAUUAUUUUGUUUCUGCCAUAUUACCUUGUUUAUAAUGCUUGUGUUGCUUUCAUAUGCACAUUCAACUUUCUACUUGAGGUACAUAUAUACAUUUUGAAUGUGUUGUUUGUGUUUAAAAAAAAAUUAAACUUGGUUAAAGGAUUUCAGUAUAGGUAGUUUUUGAAAAUUUCAAACACAUUUAAAAU
Entelurus aequoreus (snake pipefish) is the source of this 4699-nucleotide long non-coding RNA. RefSeq lists it as uncharacterized. The record is from RefSeq and is a predicted model, not a curated record. The transcript has 6 exons. NCBI's taxonomy places the organism in Eukaryota, Metazoa, Chordata, Actinopteri, Syngnathiformes, Syngnathidae.